GAUGAACGCUAGCGGCAGGCCUAACACAUGCAAGUCGAGGGGCAGCACAUAAAGUGGUUUACUACUUUUGGUGGCGACCGGCGGACGGGUGCGUAACGCGUAUGCAACCUGCCUCCAACAGGGGGAUAACGGAGAGAAAUUUCCACUAAUACCCCAUAAUAUCAGAAUCGGCAUCGGUUUUGGUUGAAAACUCCGGUGGUUGGAGAUGGGCAUGCGUCGUAUUAGAUAGUUGGUGAGGUAACGGCUCACCAAGUCAACGAUACAUAGGGGGACUGAGAGGUUAGCCCCCCACACUGGUACUGAGACACGGACCAGACUCCUACGGGAGGCAGCAGUGAGGAAUAUUGGUCAAUGGGGGCAACCCUGAACCAGCCAUGCCGCGUGCGGGAAGACGGCUCUAUGAGUUGUAAACUGCUUUUACAAGGGGAUAAAUCGGUGUACGUGUACACCGUUGAAGGUACCUUGGGAAUAAGGAUCGGCUAACUCCGUGCCAGCAGCCGCGGUAA
This 506-nucleotide ribosomal RNA is filed under the name uncultured bacterium. RNAcentral describes it as "partial 16S ribosomal RNA". It matches the Rfam family "Bacterial small subunit ribosomal RNA", at positions 28 to 523 of the family's 1533-position model. The record is from RNAcentral.